Molecule: ribosomal RNA, 39 nt
Filed under: Dicranum flexicaule
Lineage: Eukaryota; Viridiplantae; Streptophyta; Bryopsida; Dicranales; Dicranaceae
Description: Dicranum fuscescens var. flexicaule partial 26S ribosomal RNA
Source: RNAcentral
UGAUCAGGGAAGACUACCCGCUGAGUUUAAGCAUAUCAA